AGCCUGAUGCAGCGACGCCGCGUGAGGGAUGACGGCCUUCGGGUUGUAAACCUCUUUCGCCAGGGACGAAGCGCAAGUGACGGUACCUGGAGAAGAAGCACCGGCCAACUACGUGCCAGCAGCCGCGGUAAUACGUAGGGUGCGAGCGUUGUCCGGAAUUACUGGGCGUAAAGAGCUCGUAGGUGGUUUGUCGCGUUGUUCGUGAAAACUCACAGCUUAACUGUGGGCGUGCGGGCGAUACGGGCAGACUGGAGUACUGCAGGGGAGACUGGAAUUCCUGGUGUAGCGGUGGAAUGCGCAGAUAUCAGGAGGAACACCGGUGGCGAAGGCGGGUCUCUGGGCAGUAACUGACGCUGAGGAGCGAAAGCGUGGGGAGCGAACAGGAUUAGAUACCCUGGUAGUCCACGCCGUAAACGGUGGGUACUAGGUGUGGGUUUCCUUCCUUGGGAUCCGUGCCGUAGCUAACGCAUUAAGUACCCCGCCUGGG
Molecule: ribosomal RNA, 487 nt
Filed under: Mycobacterium sp. EBKC51
Lineage: Bacteria; Bacillati; Actinomycetota; Actinomycetes; Mycobacteriales; Mycobacteriaceae
Also listed under: 1 other name
Description: bacterial SSU rRNA
Rfam family: Bacterial small subunit ribosomal RNA
Source: RNAcentral